GAUGAACGCUGGCGGUAUGCUUAACACAUGCAAGUCGAACGAAAUCUUCGGAUUUAGUGGCGGACGGGUGAGUAACGCGUGAGAAUCUGGCUUCAGGUCUGGGACAACCACUGGAAACGGUGGCUAAUACCGGAUGUGCCGAGAGGUGAAAGAUUAAUUGCCUGAAGAUGAGCUCGCGUCUGAUUAGCUAGUAGGUGUGGUAAAGGCGCACCUAGGCGACGAUCAGUAGCUGGUCUGAGAGGACGAUCAGCCACACUGGGACUGAGACACGGCCCAGACUCCUACGGGAGGCAGCAGUGGGGAAUUUUCCGCAAUGGGCGAAAGCCUGACGGAGCAAUACCGCGUGAGGGAGGAAGGCUCUUGGGUCGUAAACCUCUUUUCUCAGGGAAGAACACAAUGACGGUACCUGAGGAAUAAGCAUCGGCUAACUCCGUGCCAGCAGCCGCGGUAAUACGGAGGAUGCAAGCGUUAUCCGGAAUGAUUGGGCGUAAAGCGUCCGCAGGUGGCUAUGUAAGUCUGCUGUUAAAGAGUCUAGCUCAACUAGAUAAGAGCAGUGGAAACUACAAGGCUAGAGUACGUUCGGGGCAGAGGGAAUUCCUGGUGUAGCGGUGAAAUGCGUAGAGAUCAGGAAGAACACCGGUGGCGAAGGCGCUCUGCUAGGCCGUAACUGACACUGAGGGACGAAAGCUAGGGGAGCGAAUGGGAUUAGAUACCCCAGUAGUCCUAGCCGUAAACGAUGGAUACUAGGCGUGGCUUGUAUCGACCCGAGCCGUGCCGUAGCUAACGCGUUAAGUAUCCCGCCUGGGGAGUACGCCGGCAACGGUGAAACUCAAAGGAAUUGACGGGGGCCCGCACAAGCGGUGGAGUAUGUGGUUUAAUUCGAUGCAACGCGAAGAACCUUACCAAGGCUUGACAUGUCGCGAAUCUCGGUGAAAGCUGAGAGUGCCUUCGGGAGCGCGAACACAGGUGGUGCAUGGCGUCGUCAGCUCGUGUCGUGAGAUGUUGGGUUAAGUCCCGCAACGAGCGCAACCCUCGUUUUUAGUUGCCAGCAUUAAGUUGGGCACUCUAGAGAGACUGCCGGUGACAAACCGGAGGAAGGUGGGGAUGACGUCAAGUCAGCAUGCCCCUUACGCCUUGGGCUACACACGUACUACAAUGCUCCGGACAGAGGGCAGCAAGCAUGCGAAUGCAAGCAAAUCCCGUAAACCGGAGCUCAGUUCAGAUCGCAGGCUGCAACUCGCCUGCGUGAAGGAGGAAUCGCUAGUAAUUGCAGGUCAGCAUACUGCAGUGAAUUCGUUCCCGGGCCUUGUACACACCGCCCGUCACACCAUGGAAGCUGGUAGUGCCCGAAGUCAUUACUCCAACCUUUCGGGGAGGAGGAUGCCUAAGGCAGGACUGGUGACUGGGGUGAAGUCG
This 1416-nucleotide ribosomal RNA is filed under the name Nostoc sp. ACSSI 231. RNAcentral's name for it is "bacterial SSU rRNA". It matches the Rfam family "Bacterial small subunit ribosomal RNA". Lineage: Bacteria; Bacillati; Cyanobacteriota; Cyanophyceae; Nostocales; Nostocaceae. The record is from RNAcentral.